CAAUAGCGUAUAUUAAAGUUGUUGCAGUUAAAAAGCUCGUAGUUGGAUUUCGGAGCCGACCGGGCGGUCUGUCGAGAGACACGCACUGCUCGGUGGCUCUUCCUCUCGGAGGCCCUGGCUGCCCUUAACUGGAGCGGGCCGGGGAUUCGGGACGUUUACUUUGAAAAAAUUAGAGUGUUCAAAGCAGGCCGGUGCUUGGAUACAUUAGCAUGGAAUAAUGGAAUAGGGCUUGGGUCCUAUUUUGUUGGUUUUCGGGACCGAGGUCAUGGUUAAGAGGGACAGUUGGGGGCAUUCGUAUUCAAUUGUCAGAGGUGAAAUUCUUGGAUUUAUGGAAGACGAACAACUGCGAAAGCAUUUGCCAAGGAUGUUUUCAUUAA
RNAcentral lists this ribosomal RNA (377 nucleotides) under uncultured eukaryote. Its description in RNAcentral is "partial 18S ribosomal RNA". It matches the Rfam family "Eukaryotic small subunit ribosomal RNA", at positions 592 to 976 of the family's 1831-position model. The record is from RNAcentral.